This 78-nucleotide transfer RNA is filed under the name Mus musculus (house mouse). RNAcentral's name for it is "tRNA-Ser". The record is from RNAcentral. Lineage: Eukaryota; Metazoa; Chordata; Mammalia; Rodentia; Muridae.
GGCUGGACAGAUGGCUCAGCGGUUAAGAGCACUGACUGCUGCUCUUCCAGAGGUCCUGAGUUCAAUUCCCAGCAACCA